CAGGUGCGAUCAUACCAGCACUAA
This 24-nucleotide ribosomal RNA is filed under the name Trifolium repens (white clover). Lineage: Eukaryota; Viridiplantae; Streptophyta; Magnoliopsida; Fabales; Fabaceae. RNAcentral also lists the same sequence under 1 other name. The record is from RNAcentral.